RNAcentral lists this ribosomal RNA (496 nucleotides) under uncultured bacterium. RNAcentral describes it as "partial 16S ribosomal RNA". It matches the Rfam family "Bacterial small subunit ribosomal RNA", at positions 28 to 507 of the family's 1533-position model. The record is from RNAcentral.
GAUGAACGCUGGCGGCGUGCCUAAUACAUGCAAGUCGAGCGAACGGACGAGAAGCUUGCUUCUCUGAUGUUAGCGGCGGACGGGUGAGUAACACGUGGAUAACCUACCUAUAAGACUGGGAUAACUUCGGGAAACCGUAGCUAAUACCGGAUAAUAUUUUGAACCGCAUGGUUCAAAAGUGAAAGACGGUCUUGCUGUCACUUAUAGAUGGAUCCGCGCUGCAUUAGCUAGUUGGUAGGUAACGGCUUACCAAGGCAACGAUGCAUAGCCGACCUGAGAGGGUGAUCGGUCACACUGGAACUGAGACACGUUCCAGACUCCUACGGGAGGCAGCAGUAGGGAAUCUUCCGCAAUGGGCGAAAGCCUGACGGAGCAACGCCGCGUGAGUGAUGAAGGUCUUCGGAUCGUAAAACUCUGUUAUUAGGGAAGAACAUAUGUGUAAGUAACUGUGCACAUCUUGACGGUACCUAAUCAGAAAGCCACGGCUAACUACGUG